UCCAUGUUCUGCUCCUUGGCCCGCCUGA
Molecule: small RNA, 28 nt
Filed under: Bombyx mori (domestic silkworm)
Lineage: Eukaryota; Metazoa; Arthropoda; Insecta; Lepidoptera; Bombycidae
Description: ovarian small RNA-27051
Source: RNAcentral